This is a long non-coding RNA of Astatotilapia calliptera (eastern happy), 1101 nucleotides long. Lineage: Eukaryota; Metazoa; Chordata; Actinopteri; Cichliformes; Cichlidae. The record is from Ensembl.
GGAGGAGGGAAGAGAAAGUAGUAACAGCUUGCUUCUGUGGGUGGCUAACUACUGUCCAUUCUGAAUGGCCAGAUCUGCUCUUGCCAAGGGCGCUACACACACACACACACACACACACACACACAUGGAUUAAGACAUGCUGUGUAAGAGUAAAAAACAAACAUAAGCUGUCAAGAUUGCAUUUUUUGUGAGUUUUAAAUCAUUAGCUUCUGCACUUUUAAACUUUUUUUUCAGACAUUCUUUUUUUCUUACUUGUCCACCAUUACUUCCUUUUAUUCCCUUUCUUGUUGUCACAUUUACACCUCUUAGUUCUCUGUUUCUAGCUCUCUAGCCCCCCCCCCCCCCCCCCCCCCCAAUAGCCAGCAGCAGUAAAUGGGAUGCAGAGGCCAGAUAUUUAAUGUAGCAAAGAGCCAUGAAGCGUUUUAAGAAGCCUUUUCCUAACAGGGGGAGCCCUGACCUGCAGGCAAAUAUUUUUCAACCAGAUGACAUAAGAAGAUAUUAGUGGAAAGAGACCGAUAUAUUUAUUUCUUUUUUUUCUUCUCUCUUUCUGUGAUUUCCUCUUGUGCUUUUCUAUUUGGGCUGCUGCCUGGUCAUUCAGCCCACUGCACAUAUGUUUUAUUUUACUUGCUUUUCUUUUGGAGUUCAUUUAUUUUAUUUUAUCUUUGAUUCAUUAUUAUGAUACGAUAAAAGCUACUUGAGCAUUUCAGCUGCCGAGGGGCUCUUAUCGUUAACCUUGUGGAACGCAUGUAAGAGUGAGUUCCACACGUCGCAUCGCUAAUGGCCAACUUAACUCCUUUCUUCUCCUCCUCCACCUUCUGGCUUCAUCUAUAUCUUUCCUGCCAUCUCUGUCCUUUUGAAAGUGCUGUUCAUCUCUUCAUCAUGCUUCUUCACUACCUCCUCUUUUCCCUCAUAAACUCCUGCUGUAUUUGCUUUAAACUCUUUUUUUUCCCUAUUUUCUCAGUUUAGUAUUCACAUUGGCUACUUUCUUUUUCUGUGCAUGAAAAUAAAACUCAGCAUUGGUCUGUUUUACUCUGCUCAGCAUAACUGACUAAUAAAUGACACAGGUUUUUUGAGACUGUUGAACUUAAGCUAAAAGGGGGC